Molecule: long non-coding RNA, 606 nt
Organism: Populus trichocarpa (black cottonwood)
Lineage: Eukaryota; Viridiplantae; Streptophyta; Magnoliopsida; Malpighiales; Salicaceae
Exons: 3
Source: RefSeq, a predicted model, not a curated record
CCAAGAGAGAGAGCUUCGAAUAGUAAUUCAUGGACAAACAUACUGCACAUAUAUCGAAAUAGAAGUGGAAUCUGGAAACACGUUAGGGACCUGAUUGCUCUCAUAUCUGGAGCCAAAAGAAGCCUAUCCUUUUUGGAAAAUGAGAGUGAUGAAAGCAACAUAUGUACCUCCAUGAAUUGCAUCCAAUUUCGAUUCAGUGACUUUAGCAUCAAACAAGAUAUCUCCUUUCUCAACUGCAAUUCUAGGACUGACGAAGGUAAAGCUUAGCAUUGAUGAGAGCUCUAUUGCACCCGCACCCGAUUCGUCAUGGUUGCUAAAAGAAAAACCUUCAGAUGCAGAGCGAGGAGUCUUGUCGUUAACUAGGAAAGAAGAAAAUGACGAUGUCAAUGUAGGAGAUUGCACCUGUUGAUCCUCACCAGUUACAGGCGAUUCAUAGGUGAAGCUGUAGGCUUGAUCCCUGGCAAUGAAUGGGGUAGAGAAAGAACCUCCAGCAAUUUCUAGCUGUCCACGAUUAAGGUUGUCCUGCAGAUCUUUUUUUCUCAAUGACUGAGAUUGAGAGGUUUAAUUACCUUUUAAUUACAAUUGACUUGCGACUGUUGUGAAGAG